This 458-nucleotide long non-coding RNA is filed under the name Sorghum bicolor (sorghum). RNAcentral describes it as "long non-coding RNA (SBIC_LNC008712)". Lineage: Eukaryota; Viridiplantae; Streptophyta; Magnoliopsida; Poales; Poaceae. The record is from RNAcentral.
UGAUUGAUUGAUUGAUAGAUGUCUCAUUACAUUGCCCUAAGGUCUACAUUUAUACCCUGCCCAAAGAGAUACAACCAGACAUGACUAGGACUCAAAUUAUAAAUUAAACGGAAACCGUAUACAAAACAAAUUCUAAUAACUAAGGAAAACAUUAAACUACCCCCGUAACUGAUCGGGACACCACCACGAAUCAAUCGGCAACUUCCACGCUUUCCUCCAGAGUCAUCGGCAGACUACCUGUUACGGCCAUCGGCAAAUACUGGCACUGGUCAUCGGCACGAAUAUACCAUCACUUCUGGACUUGGCCAUAUUUGGUUGUCUCCCCAUCGGCAACCACCUUCAUCGGCAACUUCCCUGCAGACUGGUCACCACUACUCCAUCUGCCGAUCCACAUCCCAUUAACUCCAUAUACGUAUCAAAAGAUACGUGUCCAAAAACAGUGUCAACACAUGCCCCCC